CUGUCUGUGCCAGGGGGCAUAUGGUGCAUGCCGAGCCACAGAGAUGCUCAGGCUGUGCCCACAGGAUGACCGAGUGGGAGACAGCAGAACCAGUGGUGGCAGAGAGCCCGGGGAUCAAGCUCUUUGGGAAGUGGAGCUUCGAUGACGUGCAGAUCUAUGGCAUCUCCCUGCAGGAUUACACUGCAGUGAAGGAGCAGUAUGCCAAGUACCUGCCUCACGGCACAGAGCGACAUGCCACCAACGCUUCCGCGAAGCUCAGUGCCCCAUCGUGGAGUGCCUCACUUACUCCAUGAUGAUGCACGGCCGCAACAACCGCCAAGAAGCUCAUGAUUGUGAGCAUCGUCAAGCAUGCCUUCGAGAUCAUCCAGCUGCUCACAGGCCACAACCCUCUGCAGAUCCUGAUGAACGCCAUCAUCAACAGUGGCCCCCAGGAGGAUUCCACAUGCGUUGGGCAAGCGGGGACUGUGAGAUGACAGGCUGUGGACGUGUCCCCAUUGUACAGCGUGAAUCAGGCCAUCUGGCCGCUGUGCACAGGCGCUUCUGAGGCUGCCUUCCGGGAACAUCAAGAACAUUGCGGAGUGCCUGGCAGAUGAGCUCAUCAUUGCUGCCAAGGGCUCCUCUUAUUUUCCCGGUUGCUGCCCAAUAAACCUGCCUUUUGGGGUGGCCCCACAAAAAAAUAAAAAAUAA
Non-coding RNA from Saimiri boliviensis boliviensis (Bolivian squirrel monkey), 687 nucleotides. NCBI's taxonomy places the organism in Eukaryota, Metazoa, Chordata, Mammalia, Primates, Cebidae. The record is from RefSeq and is a predicted model, not a curated record.